ACACCCAUUUACAAGUACAUCCACUCUUCCAGCCUCACCGCUUCCGGGAAAAUCUGGCGUGGUGUUGGCGGGGCCUUCCUUUUCCACUCACGAGGUGCUGGGGUGUUGCAUGUUUGUUGCUAUUUCUCUUUAUAUUAUGCUAUUCUAAAUUGAUUAUGGUGAAUCAUCUUCUUGCUAUUCCGGUUUUAACAUGUGCACAGAAGCUUCUUACUGUGAGAAAAACAUGUUAAAACCAUUUACACCUUUGAUAUUGUAGUGUUGCCUGCCAUGAUAAUUGCAGUGCUUAAUCUUUUUUGCUUGCCGGUGCUCAUUAGGAGGAGGGGUCUAUGCAAGAAGUUACAGUGGUAAUGCUUCCUUCUUCCUUCUAUUUUCUUCAGUUCAGCAACACCUAUUAUGUUUGCUUCAUAAUAUGCCAUGCUGGUGUUGGUAUACAUAUUUAACUAGACUUCAGAUGAUACAUAUCUCUUGACAUCGAAUUGCAGUUUCCUAAAUGCCUCCCUUCCCCACUACUUUCUAAAUGCAUAGCAUGCUAAUGUAAAAUCAAUUGAAUGCGAAGUUCAAUUACGUAACAUAUUUUCCAUUCUUGGGCAUCCUUCUGGAAGGAGCUACUUACCUGAAAAGGCAGACCGUAAUAAACAUGGAAAAUAAAACAAUAACAAACCAUUAGAGGCCCGUUGCAUGCUUGUGUCAUGUCCACUCUGAUUUUAUAUCAAUUAUCUGUCCUUUUUGGGUGCUCAUUCCUUAAAUUUAACCUUUUAUAAGUCUCUGCACCUUCAGCUAUAUAACAACCAUUGGUAUUUGCUUCCAACCAUACAUAGCUAGCUUACACCAUGUAAGUAUUUUGUUUAUGCACUGCAACCUAUUGAGUGCUGCAAACAAAUUUCAAAAGCAUAGGCCAUCGAGAAAAUGAAAUGCCAACUAGAUCUUGGCAAUACAAUCGCUGCCUAGAAGUGUACUGCCUGGUGUGUUGCUACUGAAGCUAUACCAGCCAUGGUGCGUUUCCUAUCUAGGGGCAAGACCACAUAAUAGUAGUAUUAAACGAGGAGUAUUUUGCUUAGAUACUGAUGCGUUCCAAGAUGAUGUUUAGAUUGCUAAAUUCAGGUGUCUGAAAACGAUAGCUGAUAUCAUUCAGUGUUCAAGCUACCGGCAGAGCUGGUGUAUUUCCAGAGAAGACAAUCUAGAUAAUAGUGUUACCAAUAGUGUAGAUCAAAACUACUAGAUAAUUGAUGCCCUCUGUAAUGCAGAUCCAUCCACUAUGUAAUUAAGUAGGAAUGUGCAACGAUACUGCUUAGUCCAGCAGGAAUGUGUACGCACCGAUGUUGCCUGGCUAGAAAUGGUCACCGGCUCGGUCCGCUCCAUUCAUUGUAUCUGGUCUCGCUUAACAUUAUUAACCAAGCAAUCCAAGGUAAGUAUCUGCUAGCACUGUCAA
Lolium perenne is the source of this 1429-nucleotide long non-coding RNA. RefSeq lists it as uncharacterized. The record is from RefSeq and is a predicted model, not a curated record. NCBI's taxonomy places the organism in Eukaryota, Viridiplantae, Streptophyta, Magnoliopsida, Poales, Poaceae.